RNA transcript from Stegostoma tigrinum, 2659 nucleotides. It is a transcript of the gene named map3k7 C-terminal like, with no coding region annotated. The transcript is spliced from 6 exons. NCBI's taxonomy places the organism in Eukaryota, Metazoa, Chordata, Chondrichthyes, Orectolobiformes, Stegostomatidae. The record is from RefSeq and is a predicted model, not a curated record.
AGUCAUGUUGUUUAAAGGAGUUUGCUGUAGCAGGCUGACACAGACAGUUAUGCUGAAAAUAUUUUUUCUAAUUUAAAGACAGUUUGUACUUAAAAGUUUCUGAACUGGAAAGAAAAUGCUGGAAGACACAUCAGAAAGAGGAAUUUCAUCUUGUAUUGUGCAAGUGAAUAAAGUUGUGUGUCUUUUUGCCUAGAAAAGGACGGGAAAGUCCAGCUGACAGAAAGCAGGCCUGUGGGAGCCCAGAACCCAGGGGAAGUGCAGGUAACAGCAUGCUGUCCUAGCAGCUGUUUCAGCGUCUAUUACACUGUCAGUUUGUUGCCAUGUAGCAGGUGCUCGAUCUCACAUUUAAUCUUUAAUGUUCUGCAAAGGCAAAGACCAGGCAGGACACCAGCCGGUUCAGAACAUUGCAUCGGCAGGUGUGAAAUUGUGCAAGCUAAAGAGCAGAAACUACAGUCAGACCUUUAGUUCCAUUGACCAUAUGAUUACCACAAGGAGGCUACCUUCGGAUAAACCUGUCCACAUUUCCUUGAGCCUAGAUGACCUUACAGAGCUGAAUAUUCCUGAUGAUUUUAUUCCAAACGUUUACCUCCAACUUGAUCAGCAUCUACAGCCUCUGCAGCCAUGCCUCAACUCCAAGGAGUCAAUAUUGGUGUUUCAGCAGCACUGCAGGAUAGCUGAGGAGUAUCACAAAGUGCAAAAAGAAAUCGCAUUGCUACAAGAGCGAAAAAAACAGCUGAUUGCAGAACUUGAUCAAGAUGAAAAGGAUCAACUGAAUGCUACACACCUAACACAGGAAUACCAGCAGCUUGCUGAAGAAAAUCACUCUCUGACUACCUACCAUUUACAGUGUAGAGAACAUCUAGAGAAACUUCAGGUGCUACUGCAGCAGCAACAGGGAUCGUCCUGACUCCACACAGGCAGUCCUUCAUUUAUGACAUACGGAAUGCUGGAAUAGCUAUGGAAUCUUCUUAGAGAUUCACAGAAUCAAAUGGAAGAGUUUGCUGUAUGGAGAGCAGAAACCAUCUUGCUAGUUUACUGAUUUACUGGAAGCUGACUUGCAGCAUUGCUGUAGUUGUUUUUCCGGAUGAGGUUUUCUUUCUAUAUGUAUAAGAUGCUGCCAGACCUGAAACGUUUCUUCAGAAAUGUCUGAUUUUGUGUCAGAAUUUGUUACCUGGUCUCAAGUAAAUGAAUGUUCUGGGAUGGUCAACUCCUUCAGAAGAAGGGAAAAGUCCAAACAUGCAGGGAAGGAGCAUAUACAUAAUUUGUGCAGUGGAGACAAAGUAACUAAAUUUACGGGGAUAAAUUGAUUCUCCACUCCCUGGUUUCGGCCCAUCAGCAAAUUCAUAGAUUUACACUUACACCAGUGGAUAUACGACAAUCAAAUACUCAAUUUCAUCUUGUUCCAAAUAUGUAUUUUGGUGUUGUUCUUGGUGCCUCCAAUUGAAAUUGCAGGCAGAAGGUAAGGGUUCUGCUCCCUUUUAACUUUCUCCCCAUAUUGUGCUCUUCCUGACCAGGUGUAUGAAGUCCCUUUCCUUCUUUCUCUGAAGUACUUGGCCAAUAUCCAAACCAUGUCUGCUAUUUAAGCCUUUAAAUCUUGACUUCUGACUUCAGACUCAGUGAGGAAGUUCAUUCAUAUCAUAAAAAAUGACUAAUACCAGAAAUAUUUGCACAGUCAGCGAACCAAAGGCAUGGCUGCAAUCUUCUGACUAAACUUUAAGCUGAUUACAAAAUUUAGGAGGAAAUAUCAGAAUCUUUUUUAAGGGGAAUUGUCAAUGAAGGCAUUUUUGAUGCUUUCUUACUGUUUGAGAGCUAGUGAAAACAGUUGCCACUCAUGUAUACAUUUAUCUUUUUUAACCAGGUAAGAAAUUUAAAUCUGCAAGUUUUUUUUACUGUGACUGCUGUUAAAAGGGUACUGUGAUGAAGACAUUUUGAAUUGUAAUUUGAGCUAGCAAGCAUACAGAUUUGCUAUGAUUCACACAAUAGGCAAAGGCAGUAUUUUCAUGAAAAAUAUCCUGUCACUGGCCCAAUGAAAGCUCAACAGCCUGGCUUUGAUCCAGAAAGUUCAGCUGUUUGCUCUGGUGCUAGAACAGGUGGGAACCUUUCCAACUAGAUGGUGGAAAUGACCAGUUAUCAAUUUGUAAAAUUGGGAACUGGUGUAACCUGCUAAUUAAAUGGGAAGGUAGGAACUCAGUUUAAUUUCUUGACCUUCAGAUGAAGCGUGGAACCAAAGUUUUGUCUGCCUAUCCAGGUAGGCAAUCAUGAUAUUAUGGCAGUAUUCAAAGGGUGGACCAAUUUACUUCCCUCAAAACAGAAUGUGAGAAACAAAUUAAAAAGCCAUUUAGUUCAUUGCUGUUUAUGGGAUCUUUCUGCAUGCAACUUGUUUGCUAUGUCUGCCGAUCAAACAAAAUUAUAUUUUUAAAGUAAUUAAUGGAAAAUGUUUUGAUACUUCUGAGGCCUAAUAAGCUACUAGAUUCUUUACUAGGAAACUAAUCAACAUGAGAAGAAAUACUCAAUGGUAGAAAAAGAAACCCUAGAAUUAAUAUUGGCUGUCAAACAUUUUGAAGUAUAUAUCUAUUGUGGCCACAGACAGAUGAUGGCAAAUGCUAAUCACAAGCCCUAGCAUUUGUGGAAAACUCCCAAGAACUAAAAUGUCAGACUA